GGAAUCAGGUGGAUCAGAAGGUGG
RNAcentral lists this non-coding RNA (24 nucleotides) under Arabidopsis thaliana (thale cress). The record is from RNAcentral. Lineage: Eukaryota; Viridiplantae; Streptophyta; Magnoliopsida; Brassicales; Brassicaceae.